AUUGAACGCUGGCGGCAGGCCUAACACAUGCAAGUCGAGCGACCGGCGGACGGGUGAGUAAUGUAUGGGGACUGCCCGAUAGAGGGGGCUAACUACUGGAAACGGUGGCUAAUACCGCAUACAGUCGGAUAACCCAUUGGGGAUUAGCUAGUAGGUAAGGUAAUGGCUAACCUAGGCGACGAUCCCUAGCUGGUCUGAGAGGUUGAUCAGCCACACUGGGACUGAGAGCCGGCCCAGACUCCUACGGAGGCAGCAGUGGGGAAUAUUGCACAAUGGGCGCAAGCCUGAUGCAGCCAUGCCGCGUGUAUGAAGAAGGCCCUAGGGUUGUAAAGUACUUUCAGUCGGGAGGCGUUACCGACAGAAGAAGCACCGGCUAACUCCGUGCCAGCAGCCGCGGUAAUAC
RNAcentral lists this ribosomal RNA (403 nucleotides) under uncultured bacterium. Its description in RNAcentral is "partial 16S ribosomal RNA". It matches the Rfam family "Bacterial small subunit ribosomal RNA", at positions 30 to 526 of the family's 1533-position model. The record is from RNAcentral.